GGUUCAAUGGUCUAGUAGCAUCAUUCCUGCUUAGGGUGCAGGAGGUCCCGGGGUUCAACUCUCGGCUGAGCCC
Blyttiomyces helicus is the source of this 73-nucleotide non-coding RNA. The record is from the annotation of a GenBank genome assembly. NCBI's taxonomy places the organism in Eukaryota, Fungi, Chytridiomycota, Chytridiomycetes.